RNAcentral lists this ribosomal RNA (490 nucleotides) under uncultured bacterium. RNAcentral's name for it is "partial 16S ribosomal RNA". It matches the Rfam family "Bacterial small subunit ribosomal RNA", at positions 28 to 507 of the family's 1533-position model. The record is from RNAcentral.
GAUGAACGCUAGCUACAGGCUUAACACAUGCAAGUCGCGGGGCAGCAUGGGGGUUGCUUGCAAUCCCCGAUGGCGACCGGCGCACGGGUGAGUAACGCGUAUCCAACCUGCCCUUCACCACGGGAUAACCCGGCGAAAGUCGGACUAAUACCGUAUGUUGUCCAUUGACGGCCUCCGAUUUGGACGAACGGUUUGGCGGUGAAGGAUGGGGAUGCGUCCGAUUAGCUGGACGGCGGGGUGACGGCCCACCGUGGCGACGAUCGGUAGGGGUUCUGAGAGGAAGGUCCCCCACACUGGAACUUAGACACGGUCCAGACUCCUACGGGAGGCAGCAGUGAGGAAUAUUGAUCAAUGGGCGUAAGCCUGAACCAGCCAAGUAGCGUGCAGGAUGACGGCCCUAUGGGUUGUAAACUGCUUUUAUGCGGGGAUAAAGUGGCCCACGUGUGGGUUUUUGCAGGUACCGCAUGAAUAAGGACCGGCUAAUUCCGUG